GAGCAAUCCAUGGAGUAAAGUGGCGUACGGGUGAGUAACACGUGGAUAAUCUGCCCUUUAGUGGGGAAUACCGUUGGGAAACCGACGACAAUACCGCAUAAGCUCGAGAGAGGAAAGCAGCAAUGCGCUGAAGGAGGAGUCCGCGGUCGAUUAGCUAGUUGGUGAGGUAAUGGCUCACCAAGGCUGUGAUCGAUAGCCGGCCUGAGAGGGCACACGGCCACACUGGCACUGAAACACGGGCCAGACUCCUACGGGAGGCAGCAGUGGGGAAUCUUGCACAAUGGGGGAAACCCUGAUGCAGCGACGCCGCGUGAGCGAUGAAGCCCUUCGGGGUGUAAAGCUCUUUCGGCAGGGAAGAUAAUGACGGUACCUGCAGAAGCAGCUGCGGCUAACUACGUGCCAGCAGCCGCGGUAAUACGUAGGCAGCAAGCGUUGUUCGGAGUUACUGGGCGUAAAGGGUGCGUAGGCGGUCCUAUAAGUAUGGUGUGAAAUCUCCCGGCUUAACUGGGAGGGUGCGCUAUAGACUGUGGGACUAGAGUGUGGGAGAGGAAAGUGGAAUUCCUGGUGUAGCGGUGAAAUGCGUAGAUAUCAGGAGGAACACCGGUGGUGUAAACGGCUUUCUGGACCAUAACUGACGCUGAGGCACGAAAGCGUGGGUAGCAAACAGGAUUAGAUACCCUGGUAGUCCACGCCCUAAACGAUGCAU
RNAcentral lists this ribosomal RNA (706 nucleotides) under uncultured bacterium. RNAcentral's name for it is "bacterial SSU rRNA". It matches the Rfam family "Bacterial small subunit ribosomal RNA", at positions 77 to 814 of the family's 1533-position model. The record is from RNAcentral.